AACAGUUUUGUCUAAUAUUUUACUUUUACGCCUUAACUCUCAUAUACAAGUAAUUAUUUAGAGGGAGGGGGAAUGUGAAUUGUGUCAUAGUAAAAGGAAUAUGUAUGUAAGUAAGCUGGAAUUUUUCUCCAUGUAGACAUGAUAUUUCCCUUCACUCUGCCCUUUUCUUCCAGAUAACUACAAACAACAUGUAAUGCUAUUAUGGACAUGCCCCUUUAAAAAGUUAUUAUUUGUUGAACUUAUAUAGCACCAAUAUAUUCCACAGCACUUUACAAUUAUUGAAAGGGGAUAUCUAAAAGAUGAAGAAGGUCCUGCUCAAACAAGGUUACUAUAUAUGACAUAUGGAGGUAGGCAGAUAUAGAGGUCUGUCCGUAAAAAGUCCAGCUGUUGUUAAUAUACUGAGAAUGGUUUGUGCAAAAUUAAUGUAACCUGGAAGCCAAGGAGAGUGGAUUGGAAUGUGCAUGAGUGAACAAUGACGUCUUCAUUGUACUAGUCAAAAGGGGCGUUAGAUGCCAUUGAGUGAGCUUUGUGUCACCGAUUGGCCGUCACAUUCAAAAUGACUGAGUAAGUAGAACAAUGAAUCUGCAUCAAAUUUUGCAUUAAGUUUGAACAUUCCUCUGUGGAAACUAUUUGGAUUACUUAAAAGACUUUGGGGGACGAUGCAAAAAAGUGUAGUGCAAAUAAAAGUGUGGCACAAAUGCUUUGAAGAUGGUCGAGAAUCUGUGGAAAGAUUUGGCGCUCAGCGACUUCUGGCUUUUCCAAAAAAUAAAAUUUCCUUAGGAUGGGAAGAGAUUUCAGGCCAUCGAUGAGAUUCAGGUAAAUAUAACAAAGCAGCUGAUGUCAAUUACAUCAAAGGAUUUUGCAAAGUGUUUUGAACAGUGGAAGAGACACUGGGAGAGUUGUGUGAGGUCCCAAGGUGCCUACUUGAAAGAAGACUGAGGCCAUUGUCAUAUGUACAAUGUUUCUUGUAACAUGUAUCUUUUUCAAUAAAUGUUUAUAUUUUUCACAUUA
Molecule: long non-coding RNA, 1011 nt
Filed under: Pelobates cultripes (western spadefoot toad)
Lineage: Eukaryota; Metazoa; Chordata; Amphibia; Anura; Pelobatidae
Source: RNAcentral